This 663-nucleotide long non-coding RNA is filed under the name Homo sapiens (human). Its description in RNAcentral is "HSALNT0127722". Lineage: Eukaryota; Metazoa; Chordata; Mammalia; Primates; Hominidae. The record is from RNAcentral.
CCCAUGCCACUAUGCUAUCUCUAAUUCUGCCAUCCAGACCGAGCAAACGUACUUAAGACCUUUGUGUAAGAUCAGAAAAUCAUAAGACAGCAUUAAAAAGUACUAUACAGGAGGAGAUGGAACAAGAUGGCCAAAUAGAAGCCUCCAGCAAUCAUCUCCCCGAAAGGAAUUGAACAACUAUCAAAACAAAAUUGAACAACUAUCUAAACAAAAAAGUACCUUCAUAAAAAACAAAAAUCAGGACAAUAUCAGAACGGCACAUACAAGUGUCCCCAAGUCAUAUUUGGAAUAAGAUCACUUGGGAACACAAGUCAAAGAAGGACACAGUGUUCUGCCUCUCCUGAGUAAGCAGCAACAACGCACCAUCUUGGAAUCAGGGGACGGCCCUCACCAGACAACUAAAUCUGCAGACACCUUGGACUUCCCAGCCUCCAGAACUGUCUUUCUGGCAACUGUCUAAACAUAAACCAGAGAAGGGCAAGGCAGACUCAGGAAGGACAAAUAGAAGGCUAUUUUCAUAAAUCGGGUCACCUUGUUCUAGCAGAUAGAAACUGAAUCAAUAUGGUUCUGCCUUCAGUGCAGACAAUAUGGAAGAGUGUGACAGAUGUUAUCAUUGCUCCAUUGUGUACGAGCGUAGGACGAUGCUUCUCUUCUGUCAGCCUG